Non-coding RNA from Salmo salar (Atlantic salmon), 2895 nucleotides. Lineage: Eukaryota; Metazoa; Chordata; Actinopteri; Salmoniformes; Salmonidae. The record is from RefSeq and is a predicted model, not a curated record.
UGGUGUUUAUAAAGAUGGUGUGCAUACGUUAGGAUUCUCCCAAACGGUCGCGUUCCUAUGAAUGCCAAAAAUGCUGGUUCCAACAAGACAACCUAGAGGGAGUAAAGAGAGAGAAAUUAUAUUUCCACAGUGUUAGUGCUUGACAUCUGUUUUGUUUCCUAUGAACAGAGUGAUAAUAUUGUCCAUGCUGCAAAAGGAUGCAUCCGCUGAGGCAGAAAGAGACACCAUCUGGCAGAGGUGUGGACUCGAGUCACAUGACUUGAACUCGAGUCACAAAUAUGAUGACUUGCAACUCGACUUUAACACCAAUGACUCGUGACUUGACUUGGACUUGAGCCUUAUGACUCAACCUGACUUGAUACCAUCCCCAAGCCCAAAUGUUAAAAAUUAUGCUAUUAAAAAAAGCGCAUCAACUCUUCAUUUAACGAUUACAGUUUGAAUCGGACAGCAGCCAAUCAAAUUGUGCCAGCUGAGAAAAAGUUGUGCGUGGCAAUGCAGAGGAACGUCGGCGGGUGAAUUCAGAUGGAGCCCUUGGAAAGAUAAUACCCCAAAUUAUUAUUUUCGGAUAUAAAGACGACACUGUAUCAACAAAAAACGGAUUGCAACUUGCAAAACAUGCGGGAAGAAAAUUACAGACGGAGGUGCAACAAUUUCCAACUUUGUUCGACAUUUGAAGCUGCACAAAUAACGGGCGCUGAUGACCUCGUCCCUGCAGAUUUGCUGGUGCUCCGGGUUGCAGGCCAGGCUGUACAGGGUCCAGGAGAUCCCACUGGCUGUGGUGUCAUGGCCCUCGAACAUGAAGGUGUCCACCUCCGCUCGGAUAGCCUCAUCCGACAGGCCCUGCUGAUCCUCGUCCUGGAUUGAAAACCAUAAGGAACAAUCAGAUCCUUGCAUGUUGUUUUUUAUUUUAUUUAUUUUUUAUUUUUUUGGCUUCAUUUUAUGGAAAAGGUAUAACUCACACACCUAUAGUGUUACUAGCCUGGUCCCAGAUCUGUUUGUGCUCUUGCCAACUCCAUUGCUUAUUUUCAAGCCAUGCGUUUGGCAUGACAAUGACUGACAAGGAGUUGGAUAGCACAAACAAACUGGCACUCAGGCUAUAGUGUUACCAGUGGCAUGGAGAGAGAAUAUAAUGAAUAGAAAAUCAACUCCAGCACACUUGCGAUCUUGAGGCUACGAUGAGUUUCUUUUCGAACUGGCUUCAUUCAAUGACAUAAUAUACCAUCGCCAUUGUAGCCGUUUUAACUAAUGACCUGGUUAGAUGACUGCAUAAAUGGCAUAAUGGUGGAUAAUAGUGUAGUAGCGUAAUAGAGGAGUUGUGACGUACUCGUGCGCAGAGCAGGAUAUCCAGAAAGUCCAGGUUUCUCUUAGCCUGUAUCCUGCCCAGUUCCUUUUCGUCCUUCAAGGCUUCUUUUCGCUUUCGUAUGAUUUCCUCUACAAGCAGAAGGCAUCAAUCAAAUUUUACAUCAAAUGUAUUUAUAAAGCCCUUUUUUUACAUCACAGAUGUCACAAAGUUCGAUACAGAAACCCAGCCUAAAACCCCAAACAGCAAGCAAUGCAGAUGUAGAAGCAUGGGGGCUAGGGAAAAACUCCCGAGAAACACAUCAUGGGAGAGCAUCAGACAUGGCAGCAGCAGCACAGCUCAUUCUUAUGACAUGGUUAUAACAUGGUUAAGCCUAUAGCUGUACACGAAUACAAGAUGUAUAAUCAAUGGAAAAUGCAUACAUGCUGCUUUUUUAGGGUAUAUUUGCUUUGUCAAAUUCAUACAUCUAAAUGUUUUCAGGGGAUUAAGAUAAUCAUUUCAACCUUCAUUCACAGAACACACCUGUAUGACUGUGUGCAACAUUGCAUGCUUUCCUGUAUUUGUACCCAUGUGGGCUAAGUUGGAAGAUCCACUCGCUGUGGUAGGGAAAGAUCCGGAAGCGGACAUUCACCAGAUCACUGAGCUCGUACACAGCCUUGAUGUACGAGUUGGUUCCACUGAAACGAGAGAAAAACAACAGAAAAGUAUAAGUUACUUCCUCUCAAUCAUGGCUGAUAGGCAGGGCCUUGGGUUUUUCCUGAUCAUGUGAUCUGGCCCGAAAACCUCUGGGCCCGUAUUCACAACAAGUCUCUGAGUAGGAGUGCUGAUCUAGGAUCAGGUCCCCUCUGUCUUUAUAUUCGUAUUAAUUAUGAUCUAAAAGGGAAAUCUGAUCCUAUAUCGGCAGUCAUACUCUGAAACUUUCACGAAUACGGGCCCUGGGCCCUAGUUAAAGAACAAGAAAGAAAAGCAUUAGUAUUGGGUUGGGGCUUUUACGCUGACAAGACAAGAUAUUCAACAUGGGCAGAUGUAAAUGGCAGAUGAUGCAGUGGUUAAAAACAUUUAACUGACUAACCUCUCUCCCCCUUGCACUGUCUGGCAGUUAGUGUUGGAGCUGAAGGCACACUUCAUAAUGCUGUCCAGUGUCAUGAGGCUCACAUGCUCAAAUAACUCAAAUGACUCGUCGAAUUUUGAGUGAGUCUCCCAUUUGUCCUGGAACAGAAAGAUGACAGACAUAGUCAACUUGCACAAGAUGGACAGUGACAUAUAGUACAUCACUGUAACGCCCUGGCCAUAGAGAGGGGUUUUUGUUCUUUAUUUUGGUUAGGCCAGGGUGUUACAUUGGGUGGGCGUUCUAUGUUCUUUUUCUAUGUUUUUGUAUUUCUUUGUUUUGGGCCGUGUGUGGCUCCCAAUCAGGCACAGCUGAAGUUCGUUGUUGUUGAUUGGGAGUCACACAUAAGUGCAUGUUUUUCCUUUGGGGUUUUGUGGGUAAUUGUUUCUGUUAGUGUUUGCACCUGACAGGACUGUUUUGGCUGUCAGUUGUUCUUGUUUUUGUAUAGUGUUCUCUUCGUUGUUAUUAAAUUCAAGAUGAACACCAA